GUAUUUUAUAAGUUUGAUAAGUAAAAUAAUAAGAAAAAUUUAAUAAGUGAUAAUAAAUAUUGCAGAUGGUAUAUAUCAGUUUAUUGAUCCAGAACAGAAGUUAUCGAAGUAUGCACCAAAGUGGUGGAAAGUACUUCGUAAUAAUGGAAUUGAUAAUAGAAAAAAUAUCUUGACUUUUCAUUUUCGUAUAGAAAUAUACGUUGAUUGUCAUUUACUAGUAAAUGAUAAAAUAGCAAGGCAUUAUUACUAUCUUCAAUUGCGUGAAAAUGUCAUUAAGUACAACCAAAGCAUAAAUGAAGAGAGAGCAUUUCUCUUAGCAGCUUAUGCUUUACAGGCAGAUUUUGGGAAUUAUAAUAAAAAUAUUCAUGUUGGAAGAUAUUUUGAACCACAAAAAUACUUUCCUCUUUCAAUAAUUUUGAGAGUAGGUGAAGCAUACAUAAUUAAAUAUGUGCCUGCUAUGCAUAAAGAUUAUACAGGUUUGAGUUGUGGAGAAGCUGAAAUUGGUUAUAUAAAAGAGGCAUCGAACCAUGUAUCAUGUCAUAAUCUUCAUUUUUAUA
Molecule: long non-coding RNA, 557 nt
Organism: Centruroides sculpturatus (bark scorpion)
Lineage: Eukaryota; Metazoa; Arthropoda; Arachnida; Scorpiones; Buthidae
Exons: 4
Source: RefSeq, a predicted model, not a curated record